This 114-nucleotide ribosomal RNA is filed under the name uncultured bacterium. RNAcentral describes it as "partial 16S ribosomal RNA". It matches the Rfam family "Bacterial small subunit ribosomal RNA", at positions 1360 to 1482 of the family's 1533-position model. The record is from RNAcentral.
CGGUGAAUACGUUCCCGGACCUUGCACACACCGCCCGUCAAGCCAUGGAAGCUGGGUGUACCUAAAGUCGGUAACCGUAAGGAGCCGCCUAGGGUAAAACUAGUGACUGGGGCU